This 502-nucleotide ribosomal RNA is filed under the name uncultured bacterium. RNAcentral's name for it is "partial 16S ribosomal RNA". It matches the Rfam family "Bacterial small subunit ribosomal RNA", at positions 28 to 507 of the family's 1533-position model. The record is from RNAcentral.
GACGAACGCUGGCGGCGUGCUUAACACAUGCCAGUCGAACGGUGAAGGGGUCUGCUUUUGUGGGCCCUGGAUGAGUGGCGAACGGGUGAGUAACACGUGAGUAACCUGCCCCCUUCUUCUGGAUAACCGCAUGAAAGUGUGGCUAAUACGGGCUAUUCUGGGUCUGUCGCAUGAUGGGUCUGGGAAAGAUUGCGCCUUUGGGUGUUCGUGGUGGGGGAUGGGCUCGCGGCCUAUCGGCUUGUUGGUGGGGUGAUGGCCUACCAAGGCGGUGACGGGUAGCCGGGCGGAGGGGGUGUACGGUCACACUGGGACUGAGACACGGCCCAGACUCCUACGGGAGGCAGCAGUGUGGAAUAUUGCACAAUGGGCGCAAGCCUGAUGCAGCGACGCCGCGUGAGGGAUGGAGGCCUUCGGGUUGUAAACCUCUUUCGCCAGUGAAGCAGGCCUGCUCCUUGUGGGUGGGUUGACGGUAGCUGGAGAAGAAGCGCCGGCUAACUACGUG